Molecule: long non-coding RNA, 8180 nt
Organism: Haplochromis burtoni (Burton's mouthbrooder)
Lineage: Eukaryota; Metazoa; Chordata; Actinopteri; Cichliformes; Cichlidae
Exons: 2
Source: RefSeq, a predicted model, not a curated record
UAGAGACAAAAUACUGUUAAUCUGACUAUCUGCAGGUUUUAGACGCUUACAUACACACGCAGUUACAGUCCCUCCAUUUACAAAGGCAGAGGCCGGGUUCGAUUCCCGGCCAAUGCAGUCUAAUUUUCUUCUUCUUUUCUUUGUGUCAUGAGACGUGUGCAACUAUAGAAAAUGAGACUGCAUUGGCCGGGAAUCAAACCUGGGCCUUAACAGCUUUUUUGUACUCCAAGUGCUUCUGCUUCAAAUGAUGAAAUAGGUUUGUAGUGUUUCCUCUCUUCGCCGCGACGGCCCGCUUGCAUGUUCUACGAAAAAAUUGUGCUUUGGUGGGUAUCGGAUGGACGAAAACCAAACCACUUCCACACCACUGAAGUUGCACCAUUUUUACUGACCAAUUCUGCUUCACCCGUUUCAUUCAAAGAUGCGCUUUUGUCCAUGUCAUUGUCCAUCGCCGCCAUACUUUUUCUGCCAUGUGCGUAUGAGCAUAUAAAAACAAAGGCACUGCGCAUUUUACCCAUAUUCUAUUGCGAUAUUUCAUUUUCUUAUCGUUGCCUAACGUUAUGCUAGUAUUACCGUGAACGGUAUAAUGUGGCCCAGCCCUAUUGCUGAGUUUUGUGAAGAUGUGUAGGGAUCGAAGGCAACGUGCUAUGUUGUUAGCAAAAGAGGCUCUCUGUGUAUCCCAGGUUAACACGAAGAAAUGGUUUGAUAGUAAAGCACUAAAAAGGCAAUUUCAGCCUGGGGUCCGUCCCUGGUUCUGCUCUUGGGCCCCUAUUUUAUAGUGAAGAAGGUGACAGGUGUUCACAUUAAAAAAAUAAGAGUUUGGCAAGGCAACAGUAACGUACCUAGGUAAGCAGGUUGGUUUUGGACAGGCAAAGAUUGUCGUAGUCUUGAACUAUCCGACUCCGACCACCAGGCAGGAGCUAAAGCAGUUCCUCGGUAUGAUAUUACCGGUGUUUCUGUAAAAACUUCUCUGCCAAUGUGGUUCUUUUAACCAGGUUAUGUAGCCCAAAGGUACAAUUGUAGAGUGCCAGCAUGCAUUCGAGUGAGCAAAUUCCUUCCACUGCAGCGCCCCUGUCUUAGCGGCUCCUGAUUCUCUCAACCUUUCAAGCUAGAUGUUGAUGCUAGUGCCACUGGAGCUGAUGUUGUGUUAUUGCAGGAUGAUGAGGCGUGCGUGUGUCAUCCUGUCUUGUUUUUUCUAUAUCAAGUUGAAAUGCCAUCAGCAGAACUAUUCUACUGUAGAGAAGGAAGCACAAGCUCUGCUUCUUGCCCUGCAGCAUUUUGCAGUGCAUGUUGGCUCCAGCUCCUCUCUGGUUACUGUACUCACAGACCACAAUCCUGUCGUUUUUCUUCACCGAAUGUACAAUGAUAACCAACGACUGGGCACUGCUGGCACAGGAUUAUAAUCUUGUGAUUAAGCAUAAGAAAGAGACUGACAACAUAGUAGCUGACGCACUCUCACGCAGCUCAUAGUGAAGUGUUUUGUAGCCAACAAUCCUAAAUGUGCUACUGGGCUGUGGGACCGUCCUCUGUCUUCUGUGCAAAGGGUGCUGCAGCGUGCAUUGGUGGUUCAGUGGUAGAAUUCUCGCCUGCCACGCGGGAGGCCCGGGUUCGAUUCCCGGCCAAUGCAACACCUACUUUUGUUCCCUUUUUUUUCACACACACACACACACACUAUAUAACAAUAUAUACACAGUUAAGUCUGUAAUUAUCCAUACCCCUGGCAAAUUUUGUCUUAAAGUUACUUUUAUUCAACCCGCAAAUUUAUUUUUUGUUUUGACUGGAAAGGACACAGGCAGACACUCACAACUAGAACAAAACUGUCUACAAUAUCAACUGUUUCUUCCUCAUUAGUUUUUUUUCUUCCAUCCAUCUAAGUCUCUCUGCCUCAUAGAAAGCAGACUCCUGAAACUCCUUCCAGGUCAUUUCUUUGUCCAUGCCUUUGUCUCUGUAUAGAGUACACUUUCAAAGGGCAGCAAAUAUAGUUUUCCUGCCACUUCAGGGAAGCCUGUAUGAAUGUGUGGACUAUUUGGUCCCUGUGGCUGAAUCUGCAGAGGUAGCGUCCGGUUCCCUCUGGAAAAAUUCUGUCUGAACAAAUUCUUCAAAGGGCAUUUUAGGGUUACUGAUUCCCUCAGCAGCAUAACUUUGAUGUAUCUUCUUUGAACAAUAGAAAUACGGCACAGGCCCUCGAUGGUAAAAAAAAAUAGUGGAUGGAAGAUCCAUCUGUCUCAUACUGGGACUUGGGCUGUCCACAGGCAAGACAAAUCUUUCUGCCUUCCUUCCUCAGGUUGCUCCUGCUGUUGAUUCUCUAAGAUGUGUUCCACCAUCUUCUCUAUUGAGUCUUGUGUCAGAGGUGUAGACAGGGCAGGAGGAGGUGGGUUUAAGUAAGCUGGCUCCAUGGUGACCACAGGAAUACUGGUUGUCUCACUCCCUUCUGUUAAAGAGUGCCACAGUUGCUGAGUCUGCAGAAGUUUUUCUGGGCUUGUGUUCAAAGAAGUGUUUAGAAGCUUAGCCAAGUGUUUCACAUAACGGGAUAUGUGUAGCUUGGAUGUGCGGUGCAGCAAGCUGUUGAGAUCAGUACACUAGGUCCUGCUUCACAGGUGCAGACUUGUCCUGAAGCUCAUUUUUAAUCCUUGUAUCUUCAUCCGAUGGGUCCUGGAGAAGGUAUUGAAGUGGCUCCUUGUGGAACGCCACAGAUUUUCCCUGAGUAGAAUACAACUUUCUUGUGAAUCUUGACAUACAAUCAUCAAUGGUCAUGACAAUUUGCAUAUUAAUGAUAAUGAAACUGGCCUCACAGCCCAUUGUUUAUUUAGUGGACUAGUUUCAGUCUGUGUGCAAAUGUACUGUUUAGAAGUUUGGGGAAACCUGCAUCCAGCUGAGACUAAAGAAGUCAUUUGGAUGAGUGACGAAACGUUUCUCCCACUGAAAACACUACGUCCAGAUGUACAGAAUCAACUUUUUGGAAUUUACUUUCUGGGAUGAUUGAGCAUACAUCAAGACAGAAUAGUUCAUAAUUUACCAUGCCUUUUUAUCACAGCUGAUAAAAUGUAACCGUCUUUAACCAAGUGAUGGACGUUUUCUUACACUAAUCAAGUAAAUGAAAUCACAGUGAACACUUCUCUUACCUUUAAAAUACACCUGCAAUUUUUAAUCUAUUGGUUUACUCUUAUUUUAAACAACGUUUAUUACCUUUGACGAAUGAACAAGGAUCGCUGAGAUCUGUUGCAAGUGGUGCAUAACUUGUCUUUUUUCCUGAAAUUUAAAAGUGGAAAUUGUUUAAAACUGCCAGGUCUCAAACUCGCAACAGCGCCGGAAGGGUCACAGUGGUGAAUAAUAUAUUAAAUCCGUAGUUUAGCACUACCAUAGAGAAUGAAUGGGAAACUGUUUAGACCUGUUGAGCUAAACAAUCCCAGCCUCCCAUGCAGGAGGCCUGUGUUUGAUUCCUGGCCACUGCAGAAAUUCCUACAGCAAACAAUCCUUUUUAAAUUCAACUCAGUAACUCCAAGUAGGCUGGUGUUACAUCCUGUGAGGCUGUGGGAGUGUGUGGGUGUGGCGUUGCUCUCUCUCUCCCCCUCCUCCUCUCUAGCUCCACCCCUCUCUGUCUCUUUUUCUCUCUGCCCUCUCUCCACGACAGAGCUGCUGCUCACUCCCUCAUUUGGCACCAGGACCCAGUCAGCAAUUAACUCUCAGAUGUUAUAUAGGGCUGGGGAAGAACUGUGUGGUUUUGGGUUUUUUUUCUCUUCAUCUUUGCACUGCUUUCUAUUGAAUGAAGAGGUCCUAUGGUGUGGUUGUCCUUGCUGCAGUAUGGAGUUGUGAAAGCAGUGGGGAGGUUGCUACAUUGGUAGCGUGGGCUUGUGGGCCUCAGCAGCAGUAAGGUGUGUGUUGCUAGUAAUGGUUAGGGUGGGCCUGUGGGCUCCAGAAGUGCAUUUUUCUUUGUUGUUUGUUUGUUCAUCCUCCUUUAGACACAUAAGACUUAGUUGUGACCUUUUUUCUUUCUAUCUUAUUGAUAAAGCAGUGUUGCCAUCUCUUUGUGUUAGGAUUGUUUGUAAUAAAAACGUAAUAUUUGCCAUACUGCUCUGUUUGGCUCCCUUCUCAUUCUUUCCCGGUUCUAUUUGUUACUGUUCCCCACGUCUUUGCUGAGACCUUAUUUGUGGGGACGUAACAAUGUGGGGGUUCGUCCAGGAUCUCAGUGAAAGGAAUUGAAACAGCUUUGUAUGAGUUUUGGUGUCUGUAUGUUGUUCUCGGGUUGCUUGCUUAACUCUGGUGUAUUUGGGACUCUCUCCCCAGUUAGCGCAGGUGAGUGUCUAGCUGAGUGUAAUCUCUUCCUUCAGACACUCGUUCUUUAUUUUGCCUUUUUUAUUUUCGGAGUAAUCCCGGGUGGGGAUUAGGUCCCUGUCGGGGGUAGGCUUUUCAGUGCUUUGAGCACUGAAGGUUCGCCUUUAAAGUUGCCUCGAGCCUGGUACACUCCAGAAGCUAGGUAGGCUAGCAUUCGAGGGUAGGUAGGACUGAGGAGAGGUUCCAUGGUAUUGUUAUUCAUUGUUUAGCCCCAAGGGUAUAUGUUUCCCCCUUCCUUUGGAGUGUGUGUUAGAUGUCUCUCUUUUAUUGGUAUUGUUAGCCCUGAAGUAUUGUUGAUAAAGUAGCUAAUGGUGCCUAAGAGCAGGCGCAAAGUGUGGUUGAGCCAGCUACCGAAUCUGAGAAUCCCUCCACUUACCCAUCAUUAGCCAAAUGUCUUACCGCUGCGCCUGAAGAUGAUGGUACAAAGGGGGGUAAGUAGCAAAAAUGUUUGGCUUCUGACGGUUUGUUGAUACACAGGUGGAGUCCAAUGUCAGGAGACAAGUACAGUUCAGCAGAUAGUGUUUCCAAUUUUCACCAGCAGGUGCUACGGUUAGCACAUGAACAUUCAUAGUCCGGUCAUUUGGGUGUUACAAGACAUAUGACCGCAUAUUGGAACAUUUCUUUUGGCCAGCAAUGAAAGCAGAUGUGGUGCAGUUAUGUAACACAGCAUGCAGUUCCAGCAUGCGUUCGAGUCAGCAAAUUCCUUCCACUGCAGCGCCCCUGUCUUAGCGGCUCUUGAUUCUCUCAACCUUUCAAGCUCAAUGUUGAUGCUAGUGCCACUGGAGCUGGUGCUGUGUUAUUGCGGGAUGAUGAGGCGUGCGUGUGCCAUCCUGUUUUUUCUAUAUCAAGUUGAAAUGCCAUCAGCAGAACUAUUCUACUAUAGAGAAGGAAGCACAAGCUCUGCUUCUCGCCCUGCAGCAUGUUGCAGUGCAUGUUGGCUCCAGCUCCUCUCUGGUAACUGUACUCACAGACCACAAUCCUGUCGUUUUUCUUCACCGAAUGUACAAUGAUAACCAACGACCGAUGCACUGGGCACUGCUGGCACAGGAUUAUAAUCUUGUGAUUAAGCAUAAGAAAGAUACUGACAACAUAGUAGCUGACGCACUCUCACGCAGCUCACAGUGAAGUGUUUUGUAGCCAACAAUCCUAAAUGUGCUACUGGGCUGUGGGACCGUCCUCUGUCUUCUGUGCAAAGGGUGCUGCAGCAUGCAGUGGUGGUUCAGUGGCAGAAUUCUCGCCUGCCACGCGGGAGGCCCGGGUUCGAUUCCCCGCCAAUGCAGCACCUGUUUUUCUUUCCUUUUUUUCCCCCCCCACACACUAUAUAACAAUAUAUACACAGUUAAGCCUGUAAUUAUCCAUACCCCUGGCAAAUUUUGUCUUAAAGUUACUUUUAUUCAACCCGCAAAUUUAUUUUUUGUUUUGACUGGAAAGGACACAGGCAGACACUCACAGCUAGAACAAAACUGUCUUAUAUACAAUAUCAAUUGUUUCUUCCUCAUUUCUUUUCCUUUUUUCCUUCCAUCUAAGUCGCCCUGCCUCAUAGAAAGCAGACUCCUGAAACUCCUUCCAGGUCAUUUCCUUGUCCACGCCUUUGUCUCUGUAUAGAGUACACUUUCAAAGGGCAGCAAAUAUAGUUUUCCUGCCACUCCAGCGAAGCCCGUAUGAAUGUGUGGACUAUUUGGUCCCUGUUUCAGGUCCCUGUGGCUGAAUCUGCUUUUCCUCCAUCCUUCUCUUCUCCCUCUUCUUGGUAGCAUCCGGUUCCCUCUGGAAAAAUUCUGUCUGAGCAAAUUCUUCAAAGGGCAUUUUAGGGUUACCGAUUCCCUCAGCAGCAUAACUUUGAUGCACCUUGUUGGAACAAUAGGAAUAGCACCAGAGAAAGGGUGGGUGACAGGUGGUGCUGGUGCGAGGGAUGCCACACCUAGCGGUGCCAGGCUGGAGGAGGGUCCCACUGCUGGAACCUGAAGUUGGGCAGCCACAGGUUUUGGAACAGAGGAUGGGGGCUGAAGGGCAGCCGGUUCAUCUUUUCUCAGGGUUUUGUGUUUGUCCCAGUUCAGAGUGACUGGACGGCAGCCUGGCUCUCUGUAUUCAAGCCCAAAUCGCUCACCAGUGUCUCUGUCAGAGAGGUGAAGUGCAGGGUACUUCUCCUGACCAGUCCACUAGAGCUGGAUCAAAAACAGAAGGGAGAAUGACACCUGGCUGCUUACGGUCCACCAGUCUUUGGUAGUUCCAUCGUGCCACACCUGUCAUGCCCUGGGCCUGGAAUAGUUCAGUGGAUACAUGAGUCCCGGUGAUCCACUGGGCCUGGUGGAAAUGAUAACCCUCCUGCUGUGAAGUGCCUCGGACAGGAAUCCAGAUGGGGACCUUGGCACCUUCACCAGGGACAUGGUUAAGCUGAAGAGUCCCACCGUACCGAAACAUUACACCCUCUGAGAGCUCAGGGUCACUGAGGCAGCCACGCAGAAUGUGGACUCUCUGAACGCGCCACGCCUUCAGCAUGGUUGGCUUGAAGAGUGGGAGGUUGUUGGGGUCUGUGGCCAGGUGAAAAUGGUUCAGGAUCUUUUCCACUCUGUUCAGCAGUUCAGUGGGUUGUGGUAUUUGGAUCCUGCAGUGCUCCCGUAUGUGUUGCUUUGUGGGAUUAGCAGGAUGGAUGCCACAGAACUUAUAAGCAUGGAGCCUUUUCAGGUCUGCCUGAUCAACCACUGAGAAUGCAGCAGAGAGAAGCUGGCAGAAAGUGCUGAACAGAAGAUGAUGCUCAGAGGUGCAAUCUCGCGAAAAUCGCCUCAGGCAGUGGAACAGGUUCAGUUUUACAAUAAUGUUCUUAUUGUAGUGGGUUCGAGAGGCACAGCUGUUUGCCACUGGUCCAGAUGUGGCCACAGCAAUAACAGCAGGAGUAGUUUUCCAGGCAUCCCACGAUAGAUUUUCACCAGGGAUACAGUCUGGGUUCUUAAAUGGAGCACAGCAAUCCCUAAAUGUAAGAAAUACAAAUACAUGUAAGUAUAUGGAAUAUUAUAUGUGUGCAUCAAAUUGAUCUUAAAAAGGAAAAACUCAGUUUGUCCAGACAGAUUAGCAGUUUGAAUGACAAGGAUGAUUACGGUUUUUACCUGUCCACCCAGUCGUAGCCGGCCUUUUCCACUCCUGCAUCACUGUACCUCUUGGCCAUUCCCUGGUACAUGGGCUCCAAGGACCUUUCUGUCUCAGACUGAACCAUGACCCACGAAACAAUCAGCCAGUUUUCAUUCAUUAUGGAAUAACUGGACAUGACCCCAGAUGCCAGUGUGACUUUUCGUGCCGCCUUCCUGGUGUGGUCAGACCUGAAGAUGUGGCCAAAAGUGCCCGGGAGGAGUUUGGAUAUGGCUGGAUGUUGACGUCGGAAUUCGUCGAGCAGGCAGUCUGUCAGGAACUGCCCAAUGGUCCUCUGUCCAUGAGCUCCUGCCUCAGAAUCCCAGACCGAUCCUGUGGCAUGGAGGUACGCCAGGUGAGCUCGCUUGUACUUGAGGUGCAUGAGUUCAUUUAUUGGGUUUGCCAUGUCUGCUGGAGGUUUGCCAGUCCUCCUGAGCUCAUCCAUAACAGACUUGCAGAUGGCCUUUUUGUAUGUAAGAAAAGCAGGGAGAAGGUUGGUAAACCUUUUAGACAGUUUCUCUAGCCAUCGUGGAUUGUCAGCAAACCAGUUCCUGCGACAAGCCCUGCUGCAGAGUCGUGAGGAGAGGAUGUUAUACUGACCACUGGUGCCAACAAGUACUCGUGGCCUGCCCACACCAGCAGAGACCACUUGUGAACGAAAGCAACCAUGGAGACAUGGCAAGAUAUAAUGGUUUCUUAACCUGACCAUGAUAGCACUCUCAGGUUUCCAA